This 253-nucleotide ribosomal RNA is filed under the name uncultured bacterium. Its description in RNAcentral is "partial 16S ribosomal RNA". It matches the Rfam family "Bacterial small subunit ribosomal RNA", at positions 524 to 776 of the family's 1533-position model. The record is from RNAcentral.
UACGUAGGGUGCAAGCGUUAAUCGGAAUUACUGGGCGUAAAGCGUGCGCAGGCGGUUAUGCAAGACAGAGGUGAAAUCCCCUGGCUCAACCUGGGAACUGCAUUUGUGACUGUAUAGCUAGAGUACGGUAGAGGGGGAUGGAAUUCCGCGUGUAGCAGUGAAAUGCGUAGAUAUGCGGAGGAACACCGAUGGCGAAGGCAAUCCCCUGGACCUGUACUGACGCUCAUGCACGAAAGCGUGGGGAGCAAACAGG